AAUCAACGCUGGCGGCGUGCCUAACACAUGCAAGUCGAGCGCGAAAGGGGAGCAAUCCCCAAGUAGAGCGGCGAACGGGUGAGUAACGCGUGGGUAAUCUGCCUCCGAGUGGGGAACAACACCGGGAAACUGGUGCUAAUACCGCAUGACAUCGUUGGACCUUCGGAUCUGACGAUCAAAGCCGGGGACCGCAAGGCCUGGCGCUUGGAGAGGAGCCCGCGUCCGAUUAGCAGUUGGUGGGGUAAGUGGCCCACCAAGGCUACGAUCGGUAGCCGGCCUGAGA
Molecule: ribosomal RNA, 283 nt
Filed under: uncultured bacterium
Lineage: Bacteria
Description: partial 16S ribosomal RNA
Rfam family: Bacterial small subunit ribosomal RNA
Source: RNAcentral